This is an unclassified non-coding RNA of Macaca fascicularis (crab-eating macaque), 148 nucleotides long. It matches the Rfam family "Metazoan signal recognition particle RNA". Rfam says of the family: The signal recognition particle (SRP) is a universally conserved ribonucleoprotein. It is involved in the co-translational targeting of proteins to membranes. NCBI's taxonomy places the organism in Eukaryota, Metazoa, Chordata, Mammalia, Primates, Cercopithecidae. The record is from Ensembl.
GCUGAGCGUGGUGGUGCAUGCCUGUAGUCCUUGUUACUUGGGAGGCUGAGGUGGGAGGAUCACUUGAGCCUGGGAGUUCGAGGAUGCAGUGAGCCAAGAUCGUACCACUGCAUUCCAGUCUGGGCAACAGAGUGAGACCCAAUCUCAA